CUAAGGGUAGUAUAUAAAAUAUCACUCGCUUACAACGAGUAGAACCAUAAGGCCCUUAGU
This 60-nucleotide transfer RNA is filed under the name Laeocathaica amdoana. RNAcentral describes it as "tRNA-Val". Lineage: Eukaryota; Metazoa; Mollusca; Gastropoda; Stylommatophora; Camaenidae. The record is from RNAcentral.